AAAAUUGGCCAAGUCCGAGCGGGCGAGGUUGCUUCGGUAACUGAGCUAGCGGGCGGACGGGUGAGUAAUGCUUAGGAAUCUGCCUAUUAGUGGGGGACAACAUUCCGAAAGGGAUGCUAAUACCGCAUACGUCCUACGGGAGAAAGCAGGGGAUCACUUGUGACCUUGCGCUAAUAAAUGACCCUAAUUCGGAUUAGCUAGUUGGGGGGGUAAAGGCCUACCAGGGCGACAAUCUGUAGCGGGUCUGAGAGGAUGAUCCCCCACACUGGGACUGAAACACGGCCCAAACUCCUACGGGAGGCAGCAGGGGGGAAUAUUGGACAAGGGGGGGAACCCUGAUCCACCCAUGCCGCGUGUGUGAAAAAGGCCUUUUGGUUGUAAAGCACUUUAAGUGGGGAGGAGGCUUACCGGGUUAAUACCUGGGCAAGUGGACUUACCCACAAAUAAGCACCGGCUAACUCUGUGCCAGCACCGCGGUAAUACAGAGGGUGCGAGCGUUAAUCGGAUUUACGGGCGUAAAGCGCGCGUAGGUGGUUAAUUAAGUCAAAUGUGAAAUCCCCGAGCUUAACUUGGGAAUUGCAUUCGAUACUGGUUAGCUAGAGUAUGGGAGAGAUGGUAGAUUCCAGGUGUAGCGGUGAAAUGCGUAGAGAUCUGGAGGAAUACCGAUGGCGAAGGCAGCCAUCUGGCCUAAUACUGACACUGAGGUGCGAAAGCAUGGGGAGCAAACAGGAUUAGAUACCCUGGUAGUCCAUGCCGUAAACGAUGUCUACUAGCCGUUGGGGGAUUUGAUCCUUUAGUGGCGCAGCUAACGCGAUAAGUAGACCGCCUGGGGGAGUACGGUCGCAGACUAAAACUCAAAUGAAUUGACGGGGGCCCGCACAAGCGGUGGAGCAUGGUGGUUUAAUUCGAUGCAACGCGAAGAACCUUACCUGGCCUUGACAUAGUAGAGACUUUCCAGAAUGGAUUGGUGCCUUCGGGAAUCUACAUACAGGUGCUGCAUGGCUGUCGUCAGCUCGUGUCGUGAGAUGUUGGGUUAAGUCCCGCAACGAGCGCAACCCUUUUCCUUACUUGCCAGCAUUUCGGAUGGGAACUUUAAGGAUACUGCCAGUGACAAACUGGAGGAAGGCGGGGACGACGUCAAGUCAUCAUGGCCCUUACGGCCAGGGCUACACACGUGCUACAAUGGUCGGUACAAAGGGUUGCUACCUAGCGAGAGGAUGCUAAUCUCAAAAAGCCGAUCGUAGUCCGGAUCGCAGUCUGCAACUCGACUGCGUGAAGUCGGAAUCGCUAGUAAUCGCGGAUCAGAAUGCCGCGGUGAAUACGUUCCCGGGCCUUGUACACACCGCCCGUCACACCAUGGGAGUUUGUUGCACCAGAAGUAGGUAGUCUAACCGCAAGGAGGGACGGCCUUAACCCCA
This 1418-nucleotide ribosomal RNA is filed under the name Acinetobacter seohaensis. RNAcentral describes it as "bacterial SSU rRNA". It matches the Rfam family "Bacterial small subunit ribosomal RNA". Lineage: Bacteria; Pseudomonadati; Pseudomonadota; Gammaproteobacteria; Moraxellales; Moraxellaceae. The record is from RNAcentral.